GCGGAGGAGCAUGUGGUUAAUUCGAUGAUACGCGAGGAACCUUACCUGGGCUCGAACGUAAGAUGACUGUAGGUGAAAGCUUACAUCUCUUCGGAGCAUUUUACGAGGUGCUGCAUGGUUGUCGUCAGCUCGUGCCGUGAGGUGUCGGGUUAAGUCCCAUAACGAGCGCAACCCCUACCUUUAGUUGCCAUCAGGUAAUGCUGGGGACUCUAAAGGAACUGCCUACGCAAGUAGUGAGGAAGGCGGGGAUGACGUCAAAUCAGCACGGCCCUUACGUCCAGGGCUACACACGUGCUACAAUGGCCGGUACAAAGGGCAGCUACCUGGUGACAGGAUGCUAAUCUCAAAAGCCGGUCUCAGUUCGGAUCGGAGUCUGCAACCCGACUCCGCGAAGCUGGAAUCGCUAGUAAUCGCGCAUCAGCCAUGGCGCGGUGAAUACGUUCCCGGGCCUU
RNAcentral lists this ribosomal RNA (452 nucleotides) under uncultured Sphingobacteriales bacterium. RNAcentral's name for it is "bacterial SSU rRNA". It matches the Rfam family "Bacterial small subunit ribosomal RNA", at positions 929 to 1382 of the family's 1533-position model. Lineage: Bacteria; Pseudomonadati; Bacteroidota; Sphingobacteriia; Sphingobacteriales. The record is from RNAcentral.